Molecule: transfer RNA, 75 nt
Filed under: Poronia punctata
Lineage: Eukaryota; Fungi; Ascomycota; Sordariomycetes; Xylariales; Xylariaceae
Description: tRNA-Lys
Rfam family: tRNA
About the family: Transfer RNA (tRNA) molecules are approximately 80 nucleotides in length.
Source: RNAcentral
GGAAGUUUGGCGCAGUGGUUAAAGCGCGUCUCCCGUUUAAGGAGAAGGUCCUAGGUUCGAAUCCUAGAACUUCCA